AGCUCCAAUAGCGUAUAUUAAAGUUGUUGCAGUUAAAAAGCUCGUAGUUGGGUUUGUGGAAAUUUUUGAAGUCCAAUUUUGGUGCUUUCAUGAUUUUCCAUCAUUAAGGGGAAUCUGGGUGGCAUUAGGUUGUUGCACAGGGGAUACUUAUCGUUUACUGUGAAAAAAUUAGAGUGUUCAAAGCAGGCUUAUGCUGAUGAAUAUAUUAGCAUGGAAUAAUGAGAUAAGACCUUGAUACUAUUUUGUUGGUUUGUGCACCAAGGUAAUGAGUAAUAGGGACAGUUGGGGGUAUUCGUAUUCCAUUGUCAGAGGUGAAAUUCUUGGAUUUUUGGAAGACGAACUACUGCGAAAGCAUUUACCAAGGAUGUUUUCA
RNAcentral lists this ribosomal RNA (373 nucleotides) under uncultured eukaryote. RNAcentral describes it as "SSU rRNA". It matches the Rfam family "Eukaryotic small subunit ribosomal RNA", at positions 587 to 972 of the family's 1831-position model. The record is from RNAcentral.